GUUGUGAUUGUGAGAAUUACUUAAGCAAUGAUUAUCUGUGACUGCAGGGGACAAGCUCAGUGACCUAGGAGGCCUCUUCCAGUCCUGCAUUCUUUUGCUUGUUUAAGAAAAAUCCAGUCUUGAUUGAAGGACUCCAAAUACUGGAGAAUUGACCACAGUCCUGAGGUAGCAAAGCCAACUGCUGGAGAUUUUUACUGAAAAAUUUAGGAGCGCCUCUUUUGUCUCCCAUGCAAUUCGUGCAUCAUGAAAUACCUGUUGCCAUCAUCCCCUCUAGGCUCAGCAGUGGAAAAGUGGGGUGGAUGAGAUGGAACCCAUGGAGCUGUUGGUCUCUAUGGAGGAGCUUCAGGAUCAAAGUUGGAGGUGACAGCUCUACACUCAUGCAGCUCUCAAGGAAGUUACUUCUGAUUUACAUCAUUGCAUAUAAGAGAAGAAUCAGGCCCUUUCUAAGGGAUUGGACAUCAUUUCCUGACCCAUGCAACCCCUUGGAACGUGGCCCUUGA
RNAcentral lists this long non-coding RNA (500 nucleotides) under Crocodylus porosus (Australian saltwater crocodile). Its description in RNAcentral is "lncRNA (ENSCPRG00005000313.1)". The record is from RNAcentral. Lineage: Eukaryota; Metazoa; Chordata; Crocodylia; Crocodylidae.